RNAcentral lists this ribosomal RNA (261 nucleotides) under Pasteurella multocida P1933. Its description in RNAcentral is "partial 16S ribosomal RNA". It matches the Rfam family "Bacterial small subunit ribosomal RNA", at positions 1276 to 1533 of the family's 1533-position model. Lineage: Bacteria; Pseudomonadati; Pseudomonadota; Gammaproteobacteria; Pasteurellales; Pasteurellaceae. The record is from RNAcentral.
AGAAAGUGCAUCUAAGUCCGGAUUGGAGUCUGCAACUCGACUCCAUGAAGUCGGAAUCGCUAGUAAUCGCAAAUCAGAAUGUUGCGGUGAAUACGUUCCCGGGCCUUGUACACACCGCCCGUCACACCAUGGGAGUGGGUUGUACCAGAAGUAGAUAGCUUAACCUUCGGGGGGGCGUUUACCACGGUAUGAUUCAUGACUGGGGUGAAGUCGUAACAAGGUAACCGUAGGGGAACCUGCGGUUGGAUCACCUCCUUACCU